GUGAGCCACCAUGUGGUUGCUGGGAAUUG
This 29-nucleotide non-coding RNA is filed under the name Cricetulus griseus (Chinese hamster). The record is from RNAcentral. RNAcentral also lists the same sequence under 1 other name. Lineage: Eukaryota; Metazoa; Chordata; Mammalia; Rodentia; Cricetidae.